AUUGAACGCUGGCGGCAGGCCUAACACAUGCAAGUCGAGCGGAUGAAGGGAGCUUGCUCCUGGAUUCAGCGGCGGACGGGUGAGUAAUGCCUAGGAAUCUGCCUGGUAGUGGGGGAUAACGUCCGGAAACGGGCGCUAAUACCGCAUACGUCCUGAGGGAGAAAGUGGGGGAUCUUCGGACCUCACGCUAUCAGAUGAGCCUAGGUCGGAUUAGCUAGUUGGUGGGGUAAAGGCCUACCAAGGCGACGAUCCGUAACUGGUCUGAGAGGAUGAUCAGUCACAAUGGAACUGAGACACGGUCCAGACUCCUACGGGAGGCAGCAGUGGGGAAUAUUGGACAACGGGCGAAAGCCUGAUCCAGCCAUGCCGCGUGUGUGAAGAAGGUCUUCGGAUUGUAAAGCACUUUAAGUUGGGAGGAAGGGCAGUAAGUUAAUACCUUGCUGUUUUGACGUUACCAACAGAAUAAGCACCGGCUAACUUCGUG
This 484-nucleotide ribosomal RNA is filed under the name uncultured bacterium. RNAcentral describes it as "partial 16S ribosomal RNA". It matches the Rfam family "Bacterial small subunit ribosomal RNA", at positions 30 to 507 of the family's 1533-position model. The record is from RNAcentral.